RNAcentral lists this ribosomal RNA (1618 nucleotides) under Escherichia coli. Its description in RNAcentral is "partial 23S ribosomal RNA". It matches the Rfam family "Bacterial large subunit ribosomal RNA", at positions 711 to 2312 of the family's 2925-position model. Lineage: Bacteria; Pseudomonadati; Pseudomonadota; Gammaproteobacteria; Enterobacterales; Enterobacteriaceae. The record is from RNAcentral.
AGACCCGAAACCCGGUGAUCUAGCCAUGGGCAGGUUGAAGGUUGGGUAACACUAACUGGAGGACCGAACCGACUAAUGUUGAAAAAUUAGCGGAUGACUUGUGGCUGGGGGUGAAAGGCCAAUCAAACCGGGAGAUAGCUGGUUCUCCCCGAAAGCUAUUUAGGUAGCGCCUCGUGAAUUCAUCUCCGGGGGUAGAGCACUGUUUCGGCAAGGGGGUCAUCCCGACUUACCAACCCGAUGCAAACUGCGAAUACCGGAGAAUGUUAUCACGGGAGACACACGGCGGGUGCUAACGUCCGUCGUGAAGAGGGAAACAACCCAGACCGCCAGCUAAGGUCCCAAAGUCAUGGUUAAGUGGGAAACGAUGUGGGAAGGCCCAGACAGCCAGGAUGUUGGCUUAGAAGCAGCCAUCAUUUAAAGAAAGCGUAAUAGCUCACUGGUCGAGUCGGCCUGCGCGGAAGAUGUAACGGGGCUAAACCAUGCACCGAAGCUGCGGCAGCGACACUGUGUGUUGUUGGGUAGGGGAGCGUUCUGUAAGCCUGUGAAGGUGUGCUGUGAGGCAUGCUGGAGGUAUCAGAAGUGCGAAUGCUGACAUAAGUAACGAUAAAGCGGGUGAAAAGCCCGCUCGCCGGAAGACCAAGGGUUCCUGUCCAACGUUAAUCGGGGCAGGGUGAGUCGACCCCUAAGGCGAGGCCGAAAGGCGUAGUCGAUGGGAAACAGGUUAAUAUUCCUGUACUUGGUGUUACUGCGAAGGGGGGACGGAGAAGGCUAUGUUGGCCGGGCGACGGUUGUCCCGGUUUAAGCGUGUAGGCUGGUUUUCCAGGCAAAUCCGGAAAAUCAAGGCUGAGGCGUGAUGACGAGGCACUACGGUGCUGAAGCAACAAAUGCCCUGCUUCCAGGAAAAGCCUCUAAGCAUCAGGUAACAUCAAAUCGUACCCCAAACCGACACAGGUGGUCAGGUAGAGAAUACCAAGGCGCUUGAGAGAACUCGGGUGAAGGAACUAGGCAAAAUGGUGCCGUAACUUCGGGAGAAGGCACGCUGAUAUGUAGGUGAAGUCCCUCGCGGAUGGAGCUGAAAUCAGUCGAAGAUACCAGCUGGCUGCAACUGUUUAUUAAAAACACAGCACUGUGCAAACACGAAAGUGGACGUAUACGGUGUGACGCCUGCCCGGUGCCGGAAGGUUAAUUGAUGGGGUCAGCGCAAGCGAAGCUCUUGAUCGAAGCCCCGGUAAACGGCGGCCGUAACUAUAACGGUCCUAAGGUAGCGAAAUUCCUUGUCGGGUAAGUUCCGACCUGCACGAAUGGCGUAAUGAUGGCCAGGCUGUCUCCACCCGAGACUCAGUGAAAUUGAACUCGCUGUGAAGAUGCAGUGUACCCGCGGCAAGACGGAAAGACCCCGUGAACCUUUACUAUAGCUUGACACUGAACAUUGAGCCUUGAUGUGUAGGAUAGGUGGGAGGCUUUGAAGUGUGGACGCCAGUCUGCAUGGAGCCGACCUUGAAAUACCACCCUUUAAUGUUUGAUGUUCUAACGUGGACCCGUGAUCCGGGUUGCGGACAGUGUCUGGUGGGUAGUUUGACUGGGGCGGUCUCCUCCUAAAGAGUAACGGAGGAGCACG